Molecule: ribosomal RNA, 468 nt
Filed under: uncultured bacterium
Lineage: Bacteria
Description: partial 16S ribosomal RNA
Rfam family: Bacterial small subunit ribosomal RNA
Source: RNAcentral
GACGAACGCUGGCGGCGUGCUUAACACAUGCAAGUCGAACGGAAAGGCCCUGCUUUUGUGGGGUGCUCGAGUGGCGAACGGGUGAGUAACACGUGAGUAACCUGCCCUUGACUUUGGGAUAACUUCAGGAAACUGGGGCUAAUACCGGAUAGGAGCUCCUGCUGCAUGGUGGGGGUUGGAAAGUUUCGGCGGUUGGGGAUGGACUCGCGGCUUAUCAGCUUGUUGGUGGGGUAGUGGCUUACCAAGGCUUUGACGGGUAGCCGGCCUGAGAGGGUGACCGGCCACAUGGGGACUGAGAGACGGCCCAGACUCCUACGGGAGGCAGCAGUGGGGAAUAUUGCAGAAUGGGCGGAAGCCUGAGGCAGCAACGCCGCGUGCGGGAUGACGGCCUUCGGGUUGUAAACCGCUUUCGCCUGUGACGAAGCGUGAGUGACGGUAAUGGGUAAAGAAGCACCGGCUAACUACGUG